CCGAGCCCGCGCGCCCGGACCGGCCCGCCCCUCCUGCCGCCCCCGCGCGUUUGGCUAGCGGACUCGGCAACGCGCGGCUCCCUCCAGUUCUUGGCCCCGGCUCCCCCGCCCCUCCCAGUCUACUGGAGCCGUAGAGACACCUGCUGAUCCGAGAGGAGAGAGGGAGUAAGAAAAGACUGUGCUGCCUAUUAAAAAUAGAGAAUUUCUCGACAUUCAGGUCUAAGGAUUUUUAGGAACUUUCCAUCUUAAAUCUGAAAUGCUCACCCAUGGAGAGAGGAGCAUGCCUUUAUUUUCUACUUUGAGCAGCAAGAAGGCCUUUACCAGAUGCUAGUACCUUGACCUGGGACUUCCCAGUUUCCAGAAUUGUAAGCCAAGCCAAUAAAUUUCUGUUCUUUAUAAAUGA
Long non-coding RNA from Sciurus carolinensis (gray squirrel), 403 nucleotides. RefSeq lists it as uncharacterized. The record is from RefSeq and is a predicted model, not a curated record. NCBI's taxonomy places the organism in Eukaryota, Metazoa, Chordata, Mammalia, Rodentia, Sciuridae. The transcript is spliced from 4 exons.